UCAUUACCGAGUUUACACUCCCAACCCAAUGUGAACGUUACCAAACUGUUGCCUCGGCGGGAUCUCUGCCCCGGGUGCGUCGCAGCCCCGGACCAAGGCGCCCGCCGGAGGACCAACCAAAACUCUUUUUGUAUACCCCCUCGCGGGUUUUUUAUAAUCUGAGCCUUCUCGGCGCCUCUCGUAGGCGUUUCGAAAAUGAAUCAAAACUUUCAACAACGGAUCUCUUGGUUCUGGCAUCGAUGAAGAACGCAGCGAAAUGCGAUAAGUAAUGUGAAUUGCAGAAUUCAGUGAAUCAUCGAAUCUUUGAACGCACAUUGCGCCCGCCAGUAUUCUGGCGGGCAUGCCUGUCCGAGCGUCAUUUCAACCCUCGAACCCCUCCGGGGGGUCGGCGUUGGGGAUCGGCCCUGCCUUGGCGGUGGCCGUCUCCGAAAUACAGUGGCGGUCUCGCCGCAGCCUCUCCUGCGCAGUAGUUUGCACACUCGCAUCGGGAGCGCGGCGCGUCCACAGCCGUUAAACACCCAACUUCUGAAAUGUUGACCUCGGAUCAGGUAGGAAUACCCGCUGAACUUAAGCAUAUCAAUAAGCGGAG
RNAcentral lists this ribosomal RNA (589 nucleotides) under Trichoderma sp. CCN10. RNAcentral describes it as "eukaryotic LSU rRNA". The stretch from base 205 to 358 matches the Rfam family "5.8S ribosomal RNA". Lineage: Eukaryota; Fungi; Ascomycota; Sordariomycetes; Hypocreales; Hypocreaceae. The record is from RNAcentral.